GCGGUGGUUAGAUAUGGAAAUGGUAGGGAGACAAAAAUAUGCAUGUGAAAUAAAGCUCAGUAAUUUAAUAAAAAAAAAAAGUUUAAGUCUGCAGAAGUUUCUGCUGCAUUUUGUUCAGCUAUUCUCUGCCUCUAGAGUGGAGUCUACAGAGGCAGGCAGGCCUCCUUGAGCUGCGGAGGGUAUUGGGAUGGACUUGGUCUUGUCCUUGGUCUCUAAGGCAGUGCUGAGCACCUGGUUGGAUCCUGAAUUGUAG
This 253-nucleotide long non-coding RNA is filed under the name Homo sapiens (human). Its description in RNAcentral is "non-protein coding lnc-ZNF783-4:1". The record is from RNAcentral. Lineage: Eukaryota; Metazoa; Chordata; Mammalia; Primates; Hominidae.